RNAcentral lists this ribosomal RNA (172 nucleotides) under uncultured eukaryote. RNAcentral's name for it is "partial small subunit ribosomal RNA". The record is from RNAcentral.
GUACACACCGCCCGUCGCUACUACCGAUUGAAUGUUUUAGUGAGAUCUUCGGCUWGGUUUUCCGAGCGGCUUUCGGGUCGUUCGGUWUAUAUCRAAAGAUGCUCAAAYUGGAUCAUUUAGAGGAAGUAAAAGUCGUAACAAGGUAUUCGUAGGUGAACCUGCAGAAGGAUCA